AUACGGAGGAUGCAAGCGUUAUCCGGAUUUAUUGGGUUUAAAGGGUGCGUAGGCGGAUGAUUAAGCGUGAGGUGAAAUGCCACUGCUCAACAGUGGAACUGCCUCGCGAACUGGUUGUCUUGAAUGCUCCUGCCGUGGGAGGAAUGUGUGGUGUAGCGGUGAAAUGCGUAGAGAUCACACAGAACACCGAUUGCGAAGGCAUCUCACGAAGGGGUGAUUGACGCUGAGGCACGAAAGCGUGGGGAUCAAACAGGAUUAGAUACCCUGGUAGUCCACGCAGUAAACGAUGAUAACUAACCGCUGGGUCGUAGUGAUUCAGUGGCCAAGCGAAAGCGAUAAGUUAUCCACCUGGGGAGUACGACCGCAAGGUUGAAACUCAAAGGAAUUGGCGGGG
RNAcentral lists this ribosomal RNA (394 nucleotides) under uncultured bacterium. Its description in RNAcentral is "partial 16S ribosomal RNA". It matches the Rfam family "Bacterial small subunit ribosomal RNA", at positions 523 to 918 of the family's 1533-position model. The record is from RNAcentral.